GGUUAAGCGACUAAGCGUACACGGUGGAUGCCCUGGCAGUCAGAGGCGAUGAAGGACGUGCUAAUCUGCGAUAAGCGUCGGUAAGGUGAUAUGAACCGUUAUAACCGGCGAUUUCCGAAUGGGGAAACCCAGUGUGAUUCGUCACACUAUCAUUAACUGAAUCCAUAGGUUAAUGAGGCGAACCGGGGGAACUGAAACAUCUAAGUACCCCGAGGAAAAGAAAUCAACCGAGAUUCCCCCAGUAGCGGCGAGCGAACGGGGAGCAGCCCAGAGCCUGAAUCAGUGUGUGUGUUAGUGGAAGCGUCUGGAAAGGCGUGCGAUACAGGGUGACAGCCCCGUACACAAAAAUGCACAUACUGUGAGCUCGAUGAGUAGGGCGGGACACGUGGUAUCCUGUCUGAAUAUGGGGGGACCAUCCUCCAAGGCUAAAUACUCCUGACUGACCGAUAGUGAACCAGUACCGUGAGGGAAAGGCGAAAAGAACCCCGGCGAGGGGAGUGAAAAAGAACCUGAAACCGUGUACGUACAAGCAGUGGGAGCACGCUUAGGCGUGUGACUGCGUACCUUUUGUAUAAUGGGUCAGCGACUUAUAUUCUGUAGCAAGGUUAACCGAAUAGGGGAGCCGAAGGGAAACCGAGUCUUAACUGGGCGUUAAGUUGCAGGGUAUAGACCCGAAACCCGGUGAUCUAGCCAUGGGCAGGUUGAAGGUUGGGUAACACUAACUGGAGGACCGAACCGACUAAUGUUGAAAAAUUAGCGGAUGACUUGUGGCUGGGGGUGAAAGGCCAAUCAAACCGGGAGAUAGCUGGUUCUCCCCGAAAGCUAUUUAGGUAGCGCCUCGUGAAUUCAUCUCCGGGGGUAGAGCACUGUUUCGGCAAGGGGGUCAUCCCGACUUACCAACCCGAUGCAAACUGCGAAUACCGGAGAAUGUUAUCACGGGAGACACACGGCGGGUGCUAACGUCCGUCGUGAAGAGGGAAACAACCCAGACCGCCAGCUAAGGUCCCAAAGUCAUGGUUAAGUGGGAAACGAUGUGGGAAGGCCCAGACAGCCAGGAUGUUGGCUUAGAAGCAGCCAUCAUUUAAAGAAAGCGUAAUAGCUCACUGGUCGAGUCGGCCUGCGCGGAAGAUGUAACGGGGCUAAACCAUGCACCGAAGCUGCGGCAGCGACGCUUAUGCGUUGUUGGGUAGGGGAGCGUUCUGUAAGCCUGUGAAGGUGUGCUGUGAGGUAUGCUGGAGGUAUCAGAAGUGCGAAUGCUGACAUAAGUAACGAUAAAGCGGGUGAAAAGCCCGCUCGCCGGAAGACCAAGGGUUCCUGUCCAACGUUAAUCGGGGCAGGGUGAGUCGACCCCUAAGGCGAGGCCGAAAGGCGUAGUCGAUGGGAAACAGGUUAAUAUUCCUGUACUUGGUGUUACUGCGAAGGGGGGACGGAGAAGGCUAUGUUGGCCGGGCGACGGUUGUCCCGGUUUAAGCGUGUAGGCUGGUUUUCCAGGCAAAUCCGGAAAAUCAAGGCCGAGGCGUGAUGACGAGGCACUACGGUGCUGAAGCAACAAAUGCCCUGCUUCCAGGAAAAGCCUCUAAGCAUCAGGUAACAUCAAAUCGUACCCCAAACCGACACAGGUGGUCAGGUAGAGAAUACCAAGGCGCUUGAGAGAACUCGGGUGAAGGAACUAGGCAAAAUGGUGCCGUAACUUCGGGAGAAGGCACGCUGAUACGUAGGUGAAGCGACUUGCUCGUGGAGCUGAAAUCAGUCGAAGAUACCAGCUGGCUGCAACUGUUUAUUAAAAACACAGCACUGUGCAAACACGAAAGUGGACGUAUACGGUGUGACGCCUGCCCGGUGCCGGAAGGUUAAUUGAUGGGGUUAGCGCAAGCGAAGCUCUUGAUCGAAGCCCCGGUAAACGGCGGCCGUAACUAUAACGGUCCUAAGGUAGCGAAAUUCCUUGUCGGGUAAGUUCCGACCUGCACGAAUGGCGUAAUGAUGGCCAGGCUGUCUCCACCCGAGACUCAGUGAAAUUGAACUCGCUGUGAAGAUGCAGUGUACCCGCGGCAAGACGGAAAGACCCCGUGAACCUUUACUAUAGCUUGACACUGAACAUUGAGCCUUGAUGUGUAGGAUAGGUGGGAGGCUUUGAAGUGUGGACGCCAGUCUGCAUGGAGCCGACCUUGAAAUACCACCCUUUAAUGUUUGAUGUUCUAACGUGGACCCGUGAUCCGGGUUGCGGACAGUGUCUGGUGGGUAGUUUGACUGGGGCGGUCUCCUCCUAAAGAGUAACGGAGGAGCACGAAGGUUGGCUAAUCCUGGUCGGACAUCAGGAGGUUAGUGCAAUGGCAUAAGCCAGCUUGACUGCGAGCGUGACGGCGCGAGCAGGUGCGAAAGCAGGUCAUAGUGAUCCGGUGGUUCUGAAUGGAAGGGCCAUCGCUCAACGGAUAAAAGGUACUCCGGGGAUAACAGGCUGAUACCGCCCAAGAGUUCAUAUCGACGGCGGUGUUUGGCACCUCGAUGUCGGCUCAUCACAUCCUGGGGCUGAAGUAGGUCCCAAGGGUAUGGCUGUUCGCCAUUUAAAGUGGUACGCGAGCUGGGUUUAGAACGUCGUGAGACAGUUCGGUCCCUAUCUGCCGUGGGCGCUGGAGAACUGAGGGGGGCUGCUCCUAGUACGAGAGGACCGGAGUGGACGCAUCACUGGUGUUCGGGUUGUCAUGCCAAUGGCACUGCCCGGUAGCUAAAUGCGGAAGAGAUAAGUGCUGAAAGCAUCUAAGCACGAAACUUGCCCCGAGAUGAGUUCUCCCUGACCCUUUAAGGGUCCUGAAGGAACGUUGAAGACGACGACGUUGAUAGGCCGGGUGUGUAAGCGCAGCGAUGCGUUGAGCUAACCGGUACUAAUGAACCGUGAGGCUUAACCUU
RNAcentral lists this ribosomal RNA (2904 nucleotides) under Escherichia coli. Its description in RNAcentral is "23S ribosomal RNA". It matches the Rfam family "Bacterial large subunit ribosomal RNA". The record is from RNAcentral. RNAcentral also lists the same sequence under 15 other names. Lineage: Bacteria; Pseudomonadati; Pseudomonadota; Gammaproteobacteria; Enterobacterales; Enterobacteriaceae.